Molecule: long non-coding RNA, 220 nt
Filed under: Trifolium pratense (red clover)
Lineage: Eukaryota; Viridiplantae; Streptophyta; Magnoliopsida; Fabales; Fabaceae
Description: long non-coding RNA (TPRA_LNC000229)
Source: RNAcentral
GCAACGAAGUUAGAAAAAAGACAAGUCUCCCCUACCCUUGCCGAAGCUUUGGCACUUAGAUGAUGCCUCCAAUGGAUUCUAACAACUAACCAAAAUGGACACUUCAUUUUUGAAACAGACUCUCUGAAGUUGUUGUGCAUUGUUUGCAUGGUGCUAAAUGUUUGUCUUUAAUCGAGAAUAUCAUUCUUAAAUGUUGUUGCUCAUUGCUUAGUAGGAAUAA